GACGAACGCUGGCGGCAUGCCUAACACAUGCAAGUCGAACGGGAUCCAUGGAGUGCUUGCACUCCGGAAAGAUCUAGUGGCGAACGGGUGAGUAACACGUGAGAAACCUGCCCCAGACUCUGGGAUAACCUCGGGAAACCGAAGCUAAUACCGGAUAUUCUCCUUUGGUCGCAUGGCCAGUUGAGGAAAGUUUUUCGGUCUGGGAGGGUCUCGCGGCCUAUCAGCUAGUUGGUGGGGUAACGGCCCACCAAGGCUACGACGGGUAGCUGGUUUGAGAGAACGAUCAGCCACACUGGAACUGAGACACGGUCCAGACUCCUACGGGAGGCAGCAGUGGGGAAUCUUGCGCAAUGGGCGAAAGCCUGACGCAGCAACGCCGCGUGCGGGAUGAAGGCCUUCGGGUUGUAAACCGCUUUCAGCAGGGACGAAAAUGAACGGUACCUGCAGAAGAAGCCCCGGCUAACUACGUG
This 470-nucleotide ribosomal RNA is filed under the name uncultured bacterium. RNAcentral describes it as "bacterial SSU rRNA". It matches the Rfam family "Bacterial small subunit ribosomal RNA", at positions 28 to 507 of the family's 1533-position model. The record is from RNAcentral.